Molecule: microRNA precursor, 103 nt
Filed under: Marmota monax (woodchuck)
Lineage: Eukaryota; Metazoa; Chordata; Mammalia; Rodentia; Sciuridae
Source: RNAcentral
AGUGGGGUAGCUGGGUCAAAUGGUGGUUCCAUUCCAAGUUUUCUAAGGAAUAUCCAUAACUUUUUCCAGAAUGGUUGCACAAAUUUGAAGUCCCAACAGCAAU